AUGGCCGGAAAACAAGUCAGCGGCGAGGUUUUACCGGUGAACCUCGCCGGAAUGUCAAAGAAUCAGCUUUACGAUAUCAUGUCUCAGAUGAAGAAUCUGAUCGAACAGAACCAGAAACAAGCGAGGCAGAUCCUCAUUCAAAACCCUAUGUUGACAAAAUCACUUUUUCAGAACUGCCCUUUGUGUUGUAGUAAGUUUUGGCUUGUAAUCGGGAUUAUGUUUGAUCUGCUUACAUGUUUUGGCUUGUAA
This is a non-coding RNA of Vicia faba (fava bean), 249 nucleotides long. The record is from the annotation of a GenBank genome assembly. Lineage: Eukaryota; Viridiplantae; Streptophyta; Magnoliopsida; Fabales; Fabaceae.